UACGGGGGGAGCAAGCGUUGUUCGGAUUUACUGGGCGUAGAGGGCGCGUAGGCGGCACCGCAAGUCGACUGUGAAAUCUCCGGGCUUAACCCGGAAAGGUCAGCCGAUACUGCGGGGCUAGAGUGCAGAAGGGGCAACUGGAAUUCUCGGUGUAGCGGUGAAAUGCGUAGAUAUCGAGAGGAACACCUGCGGCGAAGGCGGGUUGCUGGGCUGACACUGACGCUCAUGCACGAAAGCGUGGGGAGCAAACAGG
This 253-nucleotide ribosomal RNA is filed under the name uncultured bacterium. Its description in RNAcentral is "partial 16S ribosomal RNA". It matches the Rfam family "Bacterial small subunit ribosomal RNA", at positions 524 to 776 of the family's 1533-position model. The record is from RNAcentral.